CUGUUUUUUGUUCCCCCCCCUAAUUGACCCCCUUCCCGUAGGUGAACUUGUCGGAGGGAUCAUUACUGAGUUUACAACUCCCAAACCCCUGUGAACAUACCUUUGUUGCUUCGGCGGGAUCGCCCCGGUGCCCUGCGCGCCGGAUCAGGCCCCCGCCGCAAGACCCAAAACUCUGUUUUUAUAGUUAUUCUUCUGAGUGGCUUUAAGCAAAAAAUAAAUUAAAACUUUCAACAACGGAUCUCUUGGCUCUGGCAUCGAUGAAGAACGCAGCGAAAUGCGAUAAGUAAUGUGAAUUGCAGAAUUCAGUGAAUCAUCGAAUCUUUGAACGCACAUUGCGCCCGCUAGUAUUCUGGCGGGCAUGCCUGUUCGAGCGUCAUUUCAACCCUCAGGACUCUUCGGAGAACUGGCGUUGGGGAUCAGCGUAGGCGCGGGUUCGCCCGCCUGCUGGCCCUGAAAUACAGUGGCGGUCUUGCUCUGACUCCCUUGCGUAGUAACUUACCUCGCCUGCGGAAGAAUAGUCUGACCAUGCCGUAAAACCCCCUACUUUUUUAUGUUGACCUCGAGUCAGGUAGGAUACCCCUA
Molecule: ribosomal RNA, 582 nt
Filed under: fungal sp. ASR-43
Lineage: Eukaryota; Fungi
Description: eukaryotic LSU rRNA
Rfam family: 5.8S ribosomal RNA (bases 223-376)
Source: RNAcentral